This 1186-nucleotide ribosomal RNA is filed under the name Cylindrostoma fingalianum. Its description in RNAcentral is "eukaryotic LSU rRNA". It matches the Rfam family "Eukaryotic large subunit ribosomal RNA", at positions 386 to 1412 of the family's 3401-position model. Lineage: Eukaryota; Metazoa; Platyhelminthes; Prolecithophora; Pseudostomidae. The record is from RNAcentral.
AGGUAAACAGGUAGAGCUGAAAUGGGCAUCAGGGAUUUAGUACAGUUGGUGGUUGGAGACUUGGGUGGAGGCAUCUGAAAAGGAGUCGCUGCUUUUGUUCUUCGGUUGUCACUGUAUGCAUUUUCUUGGUGUCGAAACUGCGACCAAUAGUUGGUUGAUCUGUUUUCCAACGGAAGGUAGUGUGCAUUUCGGUGCGCAUGUUAUAGCCGUGGUUACGGAUCUGAUUGGCUAUUGGAGAUGGCGUACGGUCUUUGCGCUGUUUUGAGAGUUUGAAACUCGGUUUGUCAGACUAUUCAUUAGUCUUCAGAUCGGUGUUUUAAAUUUUUGUAAUAGUGUUGGUCGUGCAAUAGUCUGCAGUGACAAAUUAGGUGAUCUACCUGACCCGUCUUGAAACACGGACCAAGAAGUCCAGCAUAUGCGCAAGUCAAAGGGUCUUACGAAACCCCACGGCGAAAUGAAAGUGAAUGUCAUGUACAUUGACUGAGAUGAGAUCCCUGAAGCUUCGGCAGAAGGGCGCAUCAUCGGCCCGUAUUAAUUUUCUUCUGAAAAGAUGCGGAGCUAGAGCGCAUAUGCUGGGACCCGAAAGAUGGUGACCUAUGCUUGUACAGGUUGAAGCCAGAGGAAACUCUGGUGGAGGACCGAAGCGGUUCUGACGUGCAAAUCGAUCGUCAGAUGUGAGUAUAGGGGCGAAAGACUAAUCGAACCAUCUAGUAGCUGGUUCCUCCUGAAGUUUCCCUCAGGAUAGCUGAAGCUUGACACCAGUCGUAUCCGGUAAAGCGAAUGAUUAGAGGUGCCGGGAGCUAAUAGUCCUCAACCUAUUCUCAAACUUUAAAUGGGUACGAUGUCUAACCAGAUUAAUUUUUGGUUAGGCCAAGGAUGUGAGUUUCUAGUGGGCCAUUUUUGGUAAGCAGAACUGGCGCUGUGGGAUGAACCAAACGUUCGGUUAAAGUGCCUAACGCAACGCUCAUGAGAUACCACAAAAGGUGUUGGUUGAUAUUGACAGCAGGGCGGUGGCCAUGGAAGUUGGAAUCCGCUAAGGAGUGUGUAACAACUCACCUGCCGAAUCAACCAGCCCUGAAAAUGGAUGGCGCUGUAGCGUUGGACUUAUACCGGACCGGCAUUGCAGAACCCACAUUCUAUUAAGCAAUGUCGAGUAAGGAGGCCACCGUGGUUGCAUUGAAGCAAU